This 522-nucleotide ribosomal RNA is filed under the name uncultured Ferribacterium sp. RNAcentral's name for it is "bacterial SSU rRNA". It matches the Rfam family "Bacterial small subunit ribosomal RNA", at positions 1 to 526 of the family's 1533-position model. Lineage: Bacteria; Pseudomonadati; Pseudomonadota; Betaproteobacteria; Rhodocyclales; Azonexaceae. The record is from RNAcentral.
UAGAGUUUGAUCAUGGCUCAGAUUGAACGCUGGCGGCAUGCCUUACACAUGCAAGUCGAACGGCAGCGGGGACUUCGGUCCGCCGGCGAGUGGCGAACGGGUGAGUAAAGUAUCGGAACGUACCUUUCAGUGGGGGAUAACGUAGCGAAAGUUACGCUAAUACCGCAUAUUCUGUGAGCAGGAAAGCAGGGGAUCGCAAGACCUUGCGCUGAUUGAGCGGCCGAUAUCAGAUUAGCUAGUUGGUGAGGUAAAGGCUCACCAAGGCGACGAUCUGUAGCGGGUCUGAGAGGAUGAUCCGCCACACGGAACUGAGACACGGUCCAGACUCCUACGGGAGGCAGCAGUGGGGAAUUUUGGACAAUGGGGGCAACCCUGAUCCAGCCAUGCCGCGUGAGUGAAGAAGGCCUUCGGGUUGUAAAGCUCUUUCAGCCGGGAAGAAAUCACAUGGGUUAAUACCCUGUGUGGAUGACGGUACCGGAAUAAGAAGCACCGGCUAACUACGUGCCAGCAGCCGCGGAAUAC